This 467-nucleotide ribosomal RNA is filed under the name uncultured bacterium. Its description in RNAcentral is "partial 16S ribosomal RNA". It matches the Rfam family "Bacterial small subunit ribosomal RNA", at positions 28 to 506 of the family's 1533-position model. The record is from RNAcentral.
GACGAACGCUGGCGGCGUGCUUAACACAUGCAAGUCGAACGGAAAGGCCCUGCUCUUGUGGGGUUCUCGAUUGGCGAACGGGUGAGUAACACGUGAGUAACCUCCCCUUGACUUUGGGAUAACUUCAGGAAACUGGGGCUAAUACCCGAUAGGAUCUCCUGCUGCAUGGGGGGGGUUGGAAAGUUUCGGCGGUUGGGGAUGGACUCGCGGCUUAUCAGCUUGUUGGUGGGGUAGUGGCUUACCCAGGCUUUGACGGGUAGCCGGCCUGGGAGGGUGACCGGCCACAGUGGGCUUGAGAUGCGGCCCAGACGGCUACGGGAGGAAGGAGUGGGGAAUAUUGCAAAAUGGGCGGAAGGAUGAUGGAGCAACGCCGGGUGGGAGACGACGGUUUUCGGGUGGUAAACCGCUUUCGCGUGUGACGAAGCGUGAGUGACGGUAAUGGGUAAAGAAGCACCGGCAAAUUACGU